Non-coding RNA from Myodes glareolus (Bank vole), 5640 nucleotides. The record is from RefSeq and is a predicted model, not a curated record. Lineage: Eukaryota; Metazoa; Chordata; Mammalia; Rodentia; Cricetidae.
CGCGCUAAUGAGAGCCGGCUGCGCUCGGCCCGCGCUCCUCUGCCCCCGGAGACCGGCAUCCCCCGGCCGCAGAGCCUCCCAAGGCGAUCUGGAGACCUCCCGCUCCCUGUGCUCUGGUGCGGGCGCUCGCCCCGGAGGCAUCCCUCUGCUGACCCCAGCUCCGUACUCACUCGCUGAGCCUCUGUGCGACUCCCCUGCCUCCCCGGCCCUUCUGUCUUCCCGGGUGUUCCCCGACCUGGGCCACAAGCCCAGCUUCACUCUCAGCGGCCUGGGCGUUCCGGGGUCCCUGAACCCGAACCUCCACCAGCGAGGGCCUCCCUAAGCAUAGCACACUCCUGUCAGGCUCCCAGCUCUCCCCUGCCCUGCAGUCCUAGUCUAGCUCUGUUCCCUCUCCCUCCCCUGCCCCCCCUCCGUAGCCACUGUCUUCCCUAGGCCACUCUUAGAGUCCCAGUGGUCUGGCACCGCCCGCCCCUGCUAGGGGCGGUUUGCACGGAGCAUCCUACAAAUCCGACUUAGCUGAAAACCCAGCUCCCUGGUGCUGGCCAAACGGUUUCUGAGCCCUUCUUGUUUGAGCAUGCCCCGACCCUCUCACCUGGCUGGUGUGGUUGAAUCUCUCUAGGUCCCCAGCCCCUCUGAGCUCUGGUCCCAGGCCUCAGCCAGUUCCUGGCUCUGACACCGAUUCCCCUCUCCACCUCACGCUCCUGCGGAGCUCUCGGCCCUUGCUCCAGCACCUGGCCAGGCCUUCCCUCCUUUGCGCUUUCUCUGCACACAGGUGAGCCCCUGGAUUGCUCUGGGGACUGGAUGUCUUCUUGGGUCCUUACUGGCCUUGAAGUCCGAGGGGCAAGGCUAUUUGUGCCCUGCUUCUUCCUGGAGCCUUGUACUCAGGGGAAUGUGUGUCCCAGCUGGCCCUCCAUGCUGGAGGAACAUGUGUGAGGCCUGUGUCUUCCCCCACUCCUCCUGUUCUCCACGCUGGGGCCCUGCUCAAGAGGAGGAGGAGGGAGAGAGAGAGAGAAAGAAAGGACACCUAAGCUCUCUGCGGCUCAGUUUCCCCAUCUUUAUAAGAACAGAAACAACGCCACGGAGUGUUUUCAGAGUUGAAAGGAGAGCACACAUGUUGAACACCUGGCACAACGCACGCACAUGCCAACAAACAGCCCGCCCUGCGACUGUGGGCUUCAGGCGGGGUCUGAGCUGUGAAGGGUGUGGCGACAGGUCCCUUUCCCAGGUGUAAACCUCUCUGAUUCUCUUCGGAGCUCUGGAAAGUAACAAGCGGGGAGAUAAGGAACCCGGGAGGGGAAGCAUUCCUUCCCACCGGCCUCCUGCAGAGGGACCUCCCAGCCUAAUGGUUCCAUCCUGUCUCUGCAGAUGUGUGGCUGGCCAGUGGCCUGUGUUGGGACAGUGACGCUUCCCAGGCAGUCUGGAUCCCACGCAGUUCUGCCCUGGCCUCUGUGUGACCUGGACGCCUUUCCUUCUGGAACGGGAGGAGCCUGGAUGGAUGAGGCGGAAGCUGGAAAUGCGACACCAUCACCUUGAGACCGUGGGCGGCAGGGGGCAGUGCUCCCUCCCCCCAGUUACAGAGAAAGGCGGACUGAUGGACAGGCACAGCCCUACCAUGCUCAGGUCAUGGAAUCUCUCUCAUCACUUUAGAAAAGCCUGCCCCAUCUCCAGAGGGCACAGCUGAUGGCUGUAUGGUCCCCGCUCCUGGUGACUUUAACCCAGAGAUGCCUAGAGCCCCUUCAGAGCCGCCCAGGGGAGAGAGUGUGGUUCUGUGGCUUUGCAGAAUGACUGUAGGGAAUCAUAGUUCCCCCCUGUCAGCAACUACCCUGCAUCCUUCAUGGGCAGCAUUGAGGUGGGAACAGUUCAGUGAGCCGUGUUUCACAAGGUGAACCCAGAAUCCCAAACCCAGGCUCCAUUUCCUGAAGGCAGAACCCCAGAUAUGGGUAGUGACUUGCCCAGGGCAGCUCAGCCAAUGCCUGGCAAAGCUGGGAUCCAGGCUUCUGAAUCAGUUACAUCCCGAGUUCAGGCCUUUAGAGGGUAGUGGCUGUGUGCCACGUAAUUCAUGCCUCCCUCUGGAAGCUCUACUCUACAUGGGCUCUUUCUAGGCGUCCUUAGGCUGCUGGCAUAGCCUAGGGAAAAUGAAUAUGGGCUCUGUGGCUCCCUGAAGCCCAGCGAGGAGGAAGAAGAACUUGGUUGAUCCAGGAGCCACUGAGGGAACAAGGACCUCGUGGCUACAGCAGCUUCUACAACAGUGCCUGGGUGGAAAACUAAUAGGUUCCCCUCUGGAGCUCUCUGGAUGGUCUGUGAGGUGGCUGUCACCUAUAUCGGAGCCUGUGUGUGUGUGUGUGUGUGUGUGUGUGUGUGUGUGUGUAUGCUCGCGCUCGCGUGCGUGUGUUUGCUAGCAGGGAAGGGAGGGGGUGGUCUUGCCUAUGAUCACAUGCCAAAAUAAGGAUAUGUGAGACCCAGGCCAAUCAGCUUGGCUGUUGACUAGCAGGUGCUUCCCGCCUGGGGGUGACAGACUUGUCCCUCUAAGACUGUGGACUCAGCAGCUGCCCCAGGGAGUCCCAUCUAGUCCCUCCAGGAAGUGGUCCGCUCUGCUCUGAAGACCCCAGGAAGCCUGGCCGAGCUCAGAAGUGAAGUGCCCUUAAUUUUCUUAACUGCCUCAGGGACAGUCACCUUAGCAGGGGUACCACCUCAGUCCUAAAAGUUCCACCUGGACCAGCUCAGAGCAGACAUCUUCUCCCCUGGACCAAGAGGAGGGUAGGACAGGAAGUUCAAAGGAAUUUUUCUCAAAAACUUGGGAGUGAAGGGGCCUGCAAAUGACUCGAGAAGCUGACCUGCCAAGGGCUUGGAACAGGGCCGCUGGCUGGAAACGCCAGACACAUGCUGACCUCUGUCGGUCUUCUCCAAAACAGGUGUGUCCCUCAGGUCCUCCCCCUCCUCCUCCUGAGUGCUCCCAGCUGGCAGGUCCCAGCAGGAACCUCCGAAACAAAACCAAGAGAAAAUUGGCGAUUGGAGGAGGAGGGGUCUGUUUAUGUCUCUGGUCCUGGACCCUUAGGUUGGAAAAUGGGCAUUUGUACACAGGCUAAGCUGUAGAGAGGGGCGGGGCGGCGGGUCGUCCACCCACCCUGGCCUGGUAGCUGUCUGUGUGCUGUGAACCUCCAUGGUGCCACGCGUAGCUGUUUCCGGGACUGUUUUGCACAGGGGCUGGAAAAAGCAAGGCAGACCUGCUGUCUCUCCGACUCUACAGCAGGACCCUUUAGCAGUCGGUUACUGGGGAGGCUGCAGGCUUGUUGCUCUGCCCUCCCUAGGCUGUGGCACUUGCCUUUGUGUUGAAGAUCUUUGCUGUCCCUUGUCCCCAGGCGCCUAAAUCCAGCAGAGGAGUUGGGGACCCCAGAGGACAGCCAGGAUUUUGUGGGGAGCUGGGAAAUGAAUUCUGAAAGACAACUAGGAGUCAGCCACAGAUACUUCGGGCGUGUGGCAGCUGCUUUUGGUGACAGUGAGCCCACAAUGAGGCAGUGGGCUCCGUGUCUCAUGGGGAGGGGGCUCUGGACCCUCAGCAGGGCAGGAGGCGCCCAGCCUGGAGGGAGUGGAGAAGGUGUGGGGUGCCCCCUGGCGGCCAGGCUUCAGCCCUGCCUGAGUGUGCCAGCUGCCCUCGUUGGUGCCCACGUGUUCUUGCUGAUCUGCCAGGAACACCCGCCUUCAGGCCUCAUGUGUGAACUCCCUGCAAACACCCUGCUCCCCUGGAGAGGUCAGAGCAGAUGUCCAUCCGGGUGUCUGCCACGCGCAGCUUACGGCCGGCUUUGGUAGUGCUCUCAGAGGCCAGAGUGGGCUGCGCCGCUCGCCUCCCUGUGGUUCCCUCGGGAAACUUGAGGUUAAGAAAUGCAAAAUCACCCGGUAACGACAGCUGCACCCCACCGCACUGAAUGGGUCCGUUCACCCAUUCUUCCCUGUCGGCUUGCAUGGACACGGCCCUCGCUUGGGCAUCCUGAAGAGACCCCUCUAUCAGACAGGUCUGUUGAAGGUUGUGGUGACAGCCACCAGCACAGGGGACAGAAGCCCACUCACAAGUCCCCCUCAUCCCUGCACAGCAGGUUGCCAGUUGAACCUUUGCGUCCGCAGCCGCCACUCAUUUCACAGGGCAGGGCUGCAGGCCACAGUGAGACCCUCAUGGGGGUCACCCUCCUGACGUCAAGGCCCUGAGUCGCGAGAUGGUACCCAGGCGCCUCCAGUGUGAGAUGAGGUGGAAGGAGAGGAUGCCGCUCUGCCCAGCUCUGAGCCCAUUCCUGCAGUUGAAGCGGGUGCAGACACAAUCUGGACCUCAAGUCCGUGUGAGUCCAGAGCCCUCUCCACACUGAGCUGGUUGACAGCUACGGCCUGGAGUGUUAAACUUACCCAAGGCCAUCAGCAGGAAGGCAAAAGCAGUCUCAAACCCUGCCUGCAGAAAUGCCGUCAGCACACCAUUUGUCCAGGGCCAGAUCAAUGAACUCGCCUCCACCAUACUCCCAGGAAGUUCAGACCCCUGAUUUAAAAACUCUAGAGGAGAGGAAAGAAUGUUCCCGGAGGCCUGAGGUCCUAGAAGGAUCUCCCCAGAGCUCAGCGGUGCGGAAUCCGCUGCUGGCUGGUCCAAAACGCCCCUGCCUACAUGUUUACUUGUUAUGGGCUGCGGUCCAAAUUCCUGGUUUGGAAGAAUCACCCAUGAUGCCCCAGGAGGCUUUUCAAACAUCUUCACCGAUUCAUCUUCUCUUGCCAGGAGAUGCUGGAGGGCCAAAGAUGAAGAUGAACAAAGUCACCGAAAGUUCCACAGUCAUUUGGAUGGUCGGUUAUAAAUAAGGGCCGCGUAAACGCCUUUGUCCUGGGCAGCUUUUCCCUGUCCUCUCGGGAUUAAUGUCUAAGAAGCAAGAACUACCCUGCUUCUGCCAAAUCUGAUUUUCCUCUCGCCCCCGACUGGGUUUGUGGGCAGCAGUUCACAACCAGGUCCGCAGCCCUGGUUCAUGACCGGGUUCAGGUGCCGCACACACCGCAAGGAGGUGACCUCAGGGUCUGCAGGGGCUUUGCAGGGUGUCAAAGCUGCAGGCCCCACACAGGCUCCCAGUGGCACCCUCGCAGCCCCCCGGGUUACCUACUUGGAGUAGGCCCUGCCUCACCCUUUUUGCUGAAGCUGAGGGGAACCAGGGCCUUUUCUAGUUCCUGCCAUGGUCUGACUUCCUCCUGCCUUCAUGAAUGGCCCUCUAUCCUACUCAUCGCCGAUGGAGACCUUCCAGCUUCCACAGGGACCAAAACAAAGCCUUAGAGGCUGGUGAUGAGACCAGAGGGUACAAGACUUGCCUAGCUUACAUUGAACUCUAGAUCUGAAAUCUCAGUCUCUCUCUCUCUCUCUCUCUCUCUCUCUCUCUCUCUCUCACACACACACACACACACACACACACACAGAAUCUUCUUCCACUUAAAACUCAGCUUCAUCCGAGAAUCUGAGACAUCAGCAUGUAAGAGCAUUGGUUGCUUGUGCAGAAGACCCAGGCCCACGUUUGGUUCCCACAUUUGGUGGCUCAGAACGGUAUGUAAGGCUAGUUCCAAGGGAUCUGACACCCUCUUCUGACUUUUUUUAAAAAAAGAUUUAUUUAUUUAUUAUAUAUACAAUAU